UAUAAUGUUUGGACUCUUCGUCUUAUUUGAAAUUUUUUACGAUUAAUAUUUUUGUUCUUACUAGAUAAUAAAAUAUGAAUAUUACUUUAUGCGUGACUAUUUUUUUAAAAUUUUUAUAUAAAAUUUUCAAAUAAGACGAAUGGUCAAACGUUGGACACAGAAAAAC
Molecule: microRNA precursor, 166 nt
Filed under: Oryza brachyantha (malo sina)
Lineage: Eukaryota; Viridiplantae; Streptophyta; Magnoliopsida; Poales; Poaceae
Description: MIR812 microRNA precursor family
Rfam family: MIR812 microRNA precursor family
Source: Rfam by way of RNAcentral